CCUACGGGAGACUGCAGUGAGGAAUAUUGGUCAAUGGACGAGAGUCUGAACCAGCCAAGUAGCGUGAAGGAUGACUGCCCUAUGGGUUGUAAACUUCUUUUAUAAAGGAAUAAAACGAGGCACGUGUGCCUUUUUGCAUGUACUUUAUGAAUAAGGAUCGGCUAACUCCGUGCCAGCAGCCGCGGUAAUACGGAGGAUCCGAGCGUUAUCCGGAUUUAUUGGGUUUAAAGGGAGCGUAGAUGGGUUGUUAAGUCAGUUGUGAAAGUUUGCGGCUCAACCGUAAAAUUGCAAUUGAUACUGGCAGUCUUGAGUACAGUUGAGGUAGGCGGAAUUCGUGGUGUAGCGGUGAAAUGCUUAGAUAUCACGAAGAACCCCGAUUGCGAAGGCAGCUUACUAAACUGUGACUGACAUUGAGGCACGAAAGCGUGGGGAGCAAACAGGAUUAGAUACCCCUGUAGUC
Molecule: ribosomal RNA, 460 nt
Filed under: uncultured bacterium
Lineage: Bacteria
Description: partial 16S ribosomal RNA
Rfam family: Bacterial small subunit ribosomal RNA
Source: RNAcentral